CAGUAGCCGCGGGAAUACGUAGGUGGCAAGCGUUGUCCGGAAUUAUUGGGCGUAAAGCGCGCGCAGGCGGAUCAGUCAGUCUGUCUUAAAAGUUCGGGGCUUAACCCCGUGAUGGGAUGGAAACUGCUGAUCUAGAGUAUCGGAGAGGAAAGUGGAAUUCCUAGUGUAGCGGUGAAAUGCGUAGAUAUUAGGAAGAACACCAGUGGCGAAGGCGACUUUCUGGACGAAAACUGACGCUGAGGCGCGAAAGCCAGGGGAGCGUACGGGAUUAGAUACCCCCGUAGUCCCUGUCUCUUAUACA
RNAcentral lists this ribosomal RNA (301 nucleotides) under uncultured bacterium. RNAcentral's name for it is "partial 16S ribosomal RNA". It matches the Rfam family "Bacterial small subunit ribosomal RNA", at positions 509 to 809 of the family's 1533-position model. The record is from RNAcentral.